This 301-nucleotide ribosomal RNA is filed under the name uncultured bacterium. RNAcentral describes it as "partial 16S ribosomal RNA". It matches the Rfam family "Bacterial small subunit ribosomal RNA", at positions 509 to 808 of the family's 1533-position model. The record is from RNAcentral.
CAGCCGCCACGGUAAUACGGAGGGUGCAAGCGUUAAUCGGAAUUACUGGGCGUAAAGCGCACGCAGGCGGUCUGACAAGUCAGAUGUGAAAUCCCCGGGCUUAACCUGGGAACUGCAUUUGAAACUGUCAGGCUGGAGUCUUGUAGAGGGGGGUGGAAUUCCAGGUGUAGCGGUGAAAUGCGUAGAGAUCUGGAGGAAUACCGGUGGCGAAGGCGGCCCCCUGGACAAAGACUGACGCUCAGGUGCGAAAGCGUGGGGAGCAAACAGGAUUAGAUACCCCCGGUAGUCCCUGUCUCUUAUU